This 510-nucleotide ribosomal RNA is filed under the name Fusarium solani. Its description in RNAcentral is "eukaryotic LSU rRNA". The stretch from base 133 to 286 matches the Rfam family "5.8S ribosomal RNA". The record is from RNAcentral. Lineage: Eukaryota; Fungi; Ascomycota; Sordariomycetes; Hypocreales; Nectriaceae.
AACCCUGUGAACAUACCUAUAACGUUGCCUCGGCGGGAACAGACGGCCCCGUAACACGGGCCGCCCCCGCCAGAGGACCCCCUAACUCUGUUUCUAUAAUGUUUCUUCUGAGUAAACAAGCAAAUAAAUUAAAACUUUCAACAACGGAUCUCUUGGCUCUGGCAUCGAUGAAGAACGCAGCGAAAUGCGAUAAGUAAUGUGAAUUGCAGAAUUCAGUGAAUCAUCGAAUCUUUGAACGCACAUUGCGCCCGCCAGUAUUCUGGCGGGCAUGCCUGUUCGAGCGUCAUUACAACCCUCAGGCCCCCGGGCCUGGCGUUGGGGAUCGGCGGAAGCCCCCUGCGGGCACAACGCCGUCCCCCAAAUACAGUGGCGGUCCCGCCGCAGCUUCCAUUGCGUAGUAGCUAACACCUCGCAACUGGAGAGCGGCGCGGCCACGCCGUAAAACACCCAACUUCUGAAUGUUGACCUCGAAUCAGGUAGGAAUACCCGCUGAACUUAAGCAUAUCAAUA